This is a long non-coding RNA of Gopherus flavomarginatus (Mexican gopher tortoise), 640 nucleotides long. RefSeq lists it as uncharacterized. Lineage: Eukaryota; Metazoa; Chordata; Testudines; Testudinidae. The transcript has 3 exons. The record is from RefSeq and is a predicted model, not a curated record.
GUCUGGUCACUCUCAGAACCCAGAGAGAACAACAACCAAAAUUUAACAGCACGCACAAAAACUUCCCUCCCUCAAGAUUUGAAAGUAUCCUGUCCCCUGAUUGGUCCUAUGGUCAGGUGACAGCCAGGCUCACUGAUCUUGUUAACCCUUUACAGGCAAAAGAGAUAUCAAGUACUUCUGUUCUAUUAACUCUUAACUAUCUGUUUAUGACAGCUUCUAACCAGAGUUGGUCAUUUACCUGUAGGAAUCUAGCGGUGCCAGUUAUUACAACCUCACCAGAAGUAUUUACCAUGCAAGGGGAUCAGUACAUCAGAGUUUUCCAGAUUUUACUUUCCUGAGUGGUCUGAAGAAAGAUUUUGAUCAGUGGGAUGCUCUUGUAGAUGGCGAAGGACAUAAUGUCAUUCCUGGAAACAACAUUUAUCUACCCUCAACUCAGCCUGAAUCACUAGAAGGAAGAAACUGAUAAUACCGUGCCUUAGUAGUACUGCUGGUCAUCUACUUCCCACAGCUACAGCGUUUUUCUUUCUCUUGGCAGUCUCAUUGCACAUUGAUAAAAGAGUUGCAGGGGUUUAAAUUCAUACCAGCCUAUAAACUUAUUCUUUAAAAUACUGUAAUAAACCUUUGCUUUCUACCCAUUAAA